Molecule: non-coding RNA, 1052 nt
Organism: Labrus bergylta (ballan wrasse)
Lineage: Eukaryota; Metazoa; Chordata; Actinopteri; Labriformes; Labridae
Source: RefSeq, a predicted model, not a curated record
CCCUCAGUCCAGAUGUUUCACAGCUUAAAGUGUGAUGCUUUAAACCCUCAGUCCAGAUGUUUCACAGCUUAAAGUGUGAUGGUUUAAACCCUCAGUCCAGAUGUUUCACAGCUUAAAGUGUGAUGGUUUAAACCCUCAGUCCAGAUGUUUCACAGGUUGAAGUGUGACGGUGUAAACCCUCAAUCCAGAUGUUUCACAGCUUAAAGUGUGACGGUGUAAACCCUCAGUCCAGAUGUUUCACAGUUUAAAGUGUGAUAGUUUAAACCCUUUUUGUGUUGAUCGCCCUCCUGCAGCUCUCUCUCCACUCUGCCAGCAGCAGGAAGUGGGGUCAGAUCCACCAGUGGAUGGCCGAGACAGAGAGAGCUCGAACUGCUGCUGCUCGUCCUAGCAGUCGCCACCACCGGGUCUGUAACUCGCCCAAAUACACAAACACAAAAACACAUGCACACACUUCCUGCAUUGUGUCUUCUGCAGUGACUCUGUAUUCUGACUCCAUGUUUCCAUGACAACAGGGUCUGGAUGAUGAUGUCAUGUCAGUCCGCAGUUACAGGUCGACCUCUUCAGGGAUACGAGACCUCGGCUCCACCAAGAGUCGGUCCAGCACCCGUAGAAAAGACACCUUGGUGUGUGUGUGCAUGUGUGUGUUAAUGCGUGUAGCCGACUCAGUAUAAUACCUGUCCUGUUUUUAUUUUAAACUUCUGUUAACGACUAAAAUUAAUUAUAUUUAAAUGAUUAAAAUAAUUAUAACUAAAAGGACAAAGUCAGAAAGUGGGAUCAUUACCUGAUGAAACAGAAUCAGGUGAGUCUUCAGGGGAUUCCUUUAAAACUAAAGUUUGUUUCACUGAUUGCUGUGUUGGAUGCUCAACCUGUUGAUCGACUUAUCCGGUGUUAGUGGCAUUCACACCUGACAGGUGUUUGAUGUUCUGAUUCUGCUGACACAUGUCCUUUCCUCAGUCUGAUGGACUCUCCUCUAGCUCUGCCCUGAAGACCUCACGCUCCACCAGCUCAGUUUUCGGCGAUCUUCACGGACACAAAAAGUCUUCAUCAUCUUC